RNAcentral lists this ribosomal RNA (253 nucleotides) under uncultured bacterium. RNAcentral's name for it is "partial 16S ribosomal RNA". It matches the Rfam family "Bacterial small subunit ribosomal RNA", at positions 524 to 776 of the family's 1533-position model. The record is from RNAcentral.
GACGUAGGGCGCGAGCGUUGUCCGGAUUUAUUGGGCGUAAAGAGCUCGUAGGCGGCUUGUUGCGUCGUCCGUGAAAACCCGUGGCUUAACUGCGGGCUUGCGGUCGAUACGGGCGGGCUGGAGUUCGGUAGGGGAGACUGGAAUUCCUGGUGUAGCGGUGAAAUGCGCAGAUAUCAGGAGGAACACCAGUGGCGAAGGCGGCGCUCUGGGCCGGAACUGACGCUGAGGAGCGAAAGCGUGGGUAGCAAACAGG